Molecule: long non-coding RNA, 246 nt
Filed under: Capsicum annuum
Lineage: Eukaryota; Viridiplantae; Streptophyta; Magnoliopsida; Solanales; Solanaceae
Description: long non-coding RNA (CANN_LNC017861)
Source: RNAcentral
AGAUGGCACAGAGUCAUAUCAUAAGCUACUAUCGAUUUGGUUCAUGCACAAGUUAGCAAUGAUUAUUAUGUCCUUAAUCCUAAUGCUAUAAUAAGAUUCACAAAAUAACACACAUAUAUACACAUUCACAUAGUUCUAAAAAUAAUUUUUUAAAGGGGUAUCAUUUUUCUAAAAAAUCAAUCACAAAAAUUUAUCAAAUGCCCUAGAUACUCAAAAAUCUCCUAAUUACACACAAAACAAAACACA